This 543-nucleotide ribosomal RNA is filed under the name uncultured Pelagibacterales bacterium. RNAcentral describes it as "bacterial SSU rRNA". It matches the Rfam family "Bacterial small subunit ribosomal RNA", at positions 34 to 615 of the family's 1533-position model. Lineage: Bacteria; Pseudomonadati; Pseudomonadota; Alphaproteobacteria; Candidatus Pelagibacterales. The record is from RNAcentral.
CGCUGGCGGCACGCCUAACACAUGCAAGUCGAACGCAGCUCAGUCAAUACUGAGUGGCAGCACGGGUGAGUACUAAUGUGGGAAUCUGCCUUUUGGUUNGGAAUAACACUGGGGAAAACUUGUGCUAAUACCGAAUAAGCCCUUACGGGGAAAGUUUUAACGCCGAAAGAUGAGCCUGCACUUGAUUAGCUAGUUGGUAAGGUAAAAGCUUACCAAGGCGACGAUCAAUAGCGUGUUCUUAGAGGAAGACCAGCCACAUUGGGACUGAGACACGGCCCAGACUCCUACGGGAGGCAGCAGUGGGGAAUCUUGCACAAUGGGGGAAACCCUGAUGCAGCGAUGCCGCGUGAGUGAAGAAGGCCCUUGGGUUGUAAAACUCUUUCGUCGGGGAAGAAAAUGACUGUACCCGAAUAAGAAGGUCCGGCUAACUUCGUGCCAGCAGCCGCGGUAAUACGAAGGGACCUAGCGUAGUUCGGAAUUACUGGGCUUAAAGAGCUCGUAGGUGGUUAAAAAAGUUGAUGGUGAAAUCCCAAGGCUCAACCU